Molecule: transfer RNA, 88 nt
Filed under: Cuscuta europaea
Lineage: Eukaryota; Viridiplantae; Streptophyta; Magnoliopsida; Solanales; Convolvulaceae
Also listed under: 1 other name
Rfam family: tRNA
About the family: Transfer RNA (tRNA) molecules are approximately 80 nucleotides in length.
Source: Rfam by way of RNAcentral
GGAGAGAUGGCUGAGUGGUUUAUAGCCCCGGUCUUGAAAACCGGUAUAGUUUACAGAACUAUCGAGGGUUCAAAUCCCUCUCUCUCCU